This 484-nucleotide ribosomal RNA is filed under the name uncultured bacterium. RNAcentral describes it as "partial 16S ribosomal RNA". It matches the Rfam family "Bacterial small subunit ribosomal RNA", at positions 28 to 523 of the family's 1533-position model. The record is from RNAcentral.
GACGAACGCUGGCGGCGUGCUUAACACAUGCAAGUCGAACGGUGAAAGCGGAGCUUGCUCCGCUGGAUCAGUGGCGAACGGGUGAGUAACACGUGGGCAACCUGCCCCUCACUUCGGGAUAACUCCGGGAAACCGGGGCUAAUACCGGAUAGGACCACUGCCUGCAUGGGUGGUGGUGGAAAGCUUUUGCGGUGUGGGAUGGGCCCGCGGCCUAUCAGCUUGUUGGUGGGGUGAUGGCCUACCAAGGCGACGACGGGUAGCCGGCCUGAGAGGGUGACCGGCCACACUGGGACUGAGAUACGGCCCAGACUCCUACGGGAGGCAGCAGUGGGGAAUAUUGCACAAUGGGCGCAAGCCUGAUGCAGCGACGCCGCGUGAGGGAUGACGGCCUUCGGGUUGUAAACCUCUUUCAGCACCGACGAAGCGCAAGUGACGGUAGGUGCAGAAGAAGGACCGGCCAACUACGUGCCAGCCGCCGCGGUAA